RNAcentral lists this ribosomal RNA (467 nucleotides) under uncultured bacterium. RNAcentral describes it as "partial 16S ribosomal RNA". It matches the Rfam family "Bacterial small subunit ribosomal RNA", at positions 28 to 507 of the family's 1533-position model. The record is from RNAcentral.
GAUGAACGCUGGCGGCGUGCUUAACACAUGCAAGUCGAACGGAAAGGCCUCUGCUUGCAGGGGUACUCGAGUGGCGAACGGGUGAGUAACACGUGGGUGAUCUGCCCUGCACUUCGGGAUAAGCCUGGGAAACUGGGUCUAAUACCGGAUAGGACAAUGGUUUGGAUGCUGUUGUGGAAAGUUUUUCGGUGUGGGAUGAGCUCGCGGCCUAUCAGCUUGUUGGUGGGGUAAUGGCCUACCAAGGCGUCGACGGGUAGCCGGCCUGAGAGGGUGUACGGCCACAUUGGGACUGAGAGACGGCCCAGACUCCGACGGGAGGCAGCAGUGGGGAAUAUUGCACAAUGGGCGCAAGCCUGAUGCAGCGACGCCGCGUGGGGGAUGACGGCCUUCGGGUUGUAAACUCCUUUCGCUAGGGACGAAGCGUUUUUGUGACGGUACCUGGAGAAGAAGCACCGGCUAACUACGUG